CAAAGGUUUGGUCCCAGCCUUCCUAUUAACCCCUAGCAGACUUACACAUGCAAGUAUCCACAUUCCAGUGAAAAUGCCCUCCAAAUCAAUAAAAUCAAGAGGAGCUGGUAUCAAGCUCACACUCGUAGCUCAUGACGCCUUGCUCAGCCACACCCCCACGGGAAACAGCAGUGAUAAAAAUUAAGCUAUAAACGAAAGUUUGACUAAGUUAUGCUAAUUAGGGUUGGUAAAUUUCGUGCCAGCCACCGCGGUCAUACGAUUAACCCAAGCUAAUAGGCACACGGCGUAAAGCGUGUUUAAACACUAUGCCAAAUAAAGUUAAACUCUAAUUAAGCUGUAAAAAGCCAUAAUCAAGACGAAAAUAAAUAACGAAAGUAACUUUAUAAUCGCUGAAACACGAUAGCUAAGAUCCA
This 413-nucleotide ribosomal RNA is filed under the name Mazama americana (red brocket). Its description in RNAcentral is "12S ribosomal RNA". Lineage: Eukaryota; Metazoa; Chordata; Mammalia; Artiodactyla; Cervidae. RNAcentral also lists the same sequence under 2 other names. The record is from RNAcentral.